AGGGGCUAGGUUAGAGGGUAACUGGGGGGUUUUUCGACCCUCCGAUCGCGAUCGUACGGUCCGAUCGGAGAGGUGGGCUAGCGUUUUCUGUGAAGAGUGGCAUUGGCUAAGAUGAGAGGGAAGUGGUGCGGCGCGGCAACGAAUUUUAAAACACCGACAGACGUUCGACGGUAGACCGAAUACGGUGCCGCUACGGUCGACCGUUCGGGUACCAGACGGACUCCGAUCGCGAUGAAAUUCGACAAGCGGCCUAGCUAUAUUAAAAUAACACCG
Molecule: long non-coding RNA, 273 nt
Filed under: Hordeum vulgare
Lineage: Eukaryota; Viridiplantae; Streptophyta; Magnoliopsida; Poales; Poaceae
Description: long non-coding RNA (HVUL_LNC012837)
Source: RNAcentral